GAGGAGGGAGGUCGGGCACGGCGAGCUGGGGCCCGAGGCGACGGCGGCCUCGCUCGGCAGCGGCAGCGGCGAGGUGCAGCUAGGCGGGGCUCGGGCAUGGGCGGAGUGGGACGGCCGUGGGCGGCGACCGGACGAGAGGGGAAAGAAGAGGGGGGUCGUUGCUCACCCCCAUUGCAGGGGAUCUGGGGUGGCGAGGCUCGCUGGGGAGGAGGAUGGGGACGAGCGGCGGAGACGGGGAGCGGUCCGGCGACGAUGUGGCGUCCGCGAGGUGGUGGCGGGACGAGGCAGCGACGUCGGGGGCGACGGUGACGAAGAGGAGGCAGUCCGUCGAAGGCGGAGGCGCGUCGAGCUCCGGGCGGCGAGGAUCCAGCGACCGGGGCGGCGGGGUGGUUCGGUUCCUGGCGUCGAGCGGCGGGGCGGGGCCGGCAGUGGUGCGGCNNNNNNNNNNNNNNNNNNNNNNNNNNNNNNNNNNNNNNNNNNNNNNNNNNNNNNNNNNNNNNNNNNNNNNNNNNNNNNNNNNNNNNNNNNNNNNNNNNNNNNNNNNNNNNNNNNNNNNNNNNNNNNNNNNNNNNNNNNNNNNNNNNNNNNNNNNNNNNNNNNNNNNNNNNNNNNNNNNNNNNNNNNNNNNNNNNNNNNNNNNNNNNNNNNNNNNNNNNNNNNNNNNNNNNNNNNNNNNNNNNNNNNNNNNNNNNNNNNNNNNNNNNNNNNNNNNNNNNNNNNNNNNNNNNNNNNNNNNNNNNNNNNNNNNNNNNNNNNNNNNNNNNNNNNNGUGCGAGGAGUGGGGAACGUGGGGUGUCGGUGGGGUGGGUAGGGUUUCGGGGUUAAGGGGAAGUGGGGGGGAGUGGCCGGCUGGGCCUGAUGGGUUGGCCCAGUUGGGCCUGUGUUCUGUUGGGCCGGAGCCCAGUGGGGGGGGUUGCUUUCUCCUUUUUUUAGUUUUGUUUUCUGUUUUCUUUUCUUUAUAUAUUUUCUUUUCUAUUUUAUUCUUUGAAUUCCUGUUUUAUAAAAUAUAAAUACAACUCCUAAAUUAAUGUUAUAAUUUAUUCUACUGCCCCAAAAAGUUUGACACCUAAUUAAAAUAGGUUGCAUUAUUAUUAUUUUUAAAAGGCAUUUAAUUAAUUGUCAUAGCUGCUGUUUUAAUUACUUUAGAGCCUUUAAACAUUUUAUAAAAGUGUGGUUUCUCCACAAUAAUUACCUAUGCAUUAUUUGGCAACACCCCAACAUUUUAGUUUUAAUAUUUGAAAAUCUUUACCGUUUGACUUUAUUUUAAGUUUGAAUUUCGAAUCGAUUUUGAACUAACACGAGAUUAACAACCGUAACCGUGGUGACGUGGCAUCAUUAACGUGGGAUUACUGUAGCCUAAUUACCCGGGCAUCACAAGCAGAGUCUAGGGUUCGGGGGGAGGGGUCACGGGGUUGCUUUUAACCAUCAGGGGGGUGCCAGGGAUGGCCGGCAUGUGGAGGGUGCCAUGGGGAUGGCCUCCACGCAGCCUCCAGUUCCUGUAGCGAGAGGUAGGGGACGCUUGGGAGGUUGGGCUGGGCCAGAUUCACAGUGGCCACCAAAGGCCCGGUUGAAAAGUAGUUACCUAGGCCCUUUUCUAUUUUAUUUUCAUUUUACUUUUCUGCUAUGUAUUUUCCUACUGUUUUGUAUUUAUUUGAGCGAGCAAAUGAAUUUUGUUACAAAUGAAACUUGGUAUAUAAAUACAAGGCAUUGAUAUGAGAUAGCACAGCAAGUUUCAAUUUAUUUUGAAAAGUGAAAAUAUUUAUUUAAUUGAAAUUGGAUCAAUUAAAAGUUGUUGGUCCAAUUUUAAAUAGGUUAAGGAUGUUUUAAUAAUUCAAAUAAUAUUGGUUUGUUCAUGGCAAUUUGUUAGUGAAUUCUUGCAACCUAGCGAACAUUUUUGUUUUACUAUUCAAAGAAAUAAUAAUUUGACUUUAUUUUAAAUUAGAAUUUGAAUUCGGCUUGGAUCAAAGUGAGGUUUAGAAAAUUAAUUGCGAUGACAUGGUCCCAUUAGUGUGUGGUUAUUGUACCUUAAUUAUCCGGGCGUUACAACCACCCCCGCCAUCCACCUCGCCUCGCCGCUCUACAUCAUCUUCCACUACUCCAACCGCCUCCUUGAUGCCACUAUUGUCGCCGCCUUGCUUCGGGCUGUUCUUGGCGGUGCUACCGCUAAUUUCUUCGUUACCCAAUGCUAUACCCUCGUUUAUCGCUUCCAUGUUGCCUCUGCGCGUAUAGCAGAGAUCAUCCUCGCACAAUCCACACUUCGCUUCCGUGCAUACUCCUUCUCUUUCUUGAGAACCCUACCUCCGAUCCCUCCUUCUCCGCCCCACACUGCCACAUGCAUGCCGUUGGCUCACCUGCUCCAAAUUCCAGAGGAUCUGGGUCUUCACUUUGAAAGCGUAGCUUGGGCACAAUGUCGCUCGCUCGUCUCCUAGCGUCCACCAAACCAACCGCAUGGAUGCCGCAUGUAUGCGCGCGUCAUACAGUUCCCUUUCACCCUUGAUGCCACCACGAUGGGUCUCAUCCUAGCUUGCCUAUUCGGCGGCAUCCACCACCAAUUCAACGUCACAGACGACGGAGAUUCCUGCUUCUCCUCACUGUGGCCUCGCCUGGCAUUGCCAAGCUCAUCGCUUCCAUGGGUGACUUUCACAAGCUGGGCAUCCUGCUCCGCUUCCCUUGGCAUGCGCCUACGGGGCGUGCUUCAUGCUCAUCACCGGGGUCGGCCUCGCCGUCGUCUAUCGGGCCUUCGUUUUCCUCGCCGACGGCAGUCGAUCCUGCUCUGCUGCCACCUGCGUCCACAACUAUUGUUCUUUCGAAGGAGCGUCGUCAACGGCUUUUUCUACCGUAUGCUUAAUGUUCUCCGCUCCUGCCAGCUUACACCACAUGCAAAUUACACCCACCACACGCAUUUGUUUUGGAUCACCUUUCUACCAAUUAAUGUUAGACCUAAUGAACUACUAGUAGAAUCUGUCGUAAACCACUGCUUUUCAGUCAAACAAGAUUUUCUAGCAGUCAAAGUUCAUGAGCAUGUGUAUAAGUCUGGCGUCCUCUCCCGAUCAAUAAAAAUUCAAAUCCUCAACCUUGGGUCCGGGUUUCGGAUCUUCCUCUUUGACCAGCUCGAACAAGUCGUUGCUCACUGUAGUUGUUUUUUUCCAUCAUUACACUAAGUUUGCUUACCCUACAUUGCCCCCUCGAUCAGACUCCAUUCUUGGCCCUUUUGAGCGUCGGCAUCUCCAGGCCCGCACGACACUGCAGCCCACCUCGGUCGCACGCUUGCACCACGCCCCCCUACUGCGCAUGCACCGCUGGCCCAUCCCAUGCAUCAUGAUGGCGGUGCGGCGCCCCCUGCCCCACCAAAUCUAUCAAAAGAUCCGUACGCUGCUCCUGGUUCGGCGCAUGCGGAUGGAGCUGGCGCGAGCCCCCAGAACCCCCUCUCUAUCUCCCUCUAUCCGUGUUAAUUUUGGACGAGCUGCUUGCCCGCCCCACGUCUAAUCCGGGCACGUCUGCGCCACCCCCUGUCGCCCCACGCGCGUCCCCGGUGACCAUAUCUGCAGCGAAUCUCGCCUUGGGAACCGACGAACUGACGAGCCCACGCGCCUGCCCGUCGCCACAGUCCCCUCCCACCACCCACGACCAGCAUCUAGACCUCAUGAUCAAGCCUAAUCCCUCUGCCCAGCCUACGACGGCCGCUCGGUCACCACGCUCCUGCCCGUCGCCCCCUCGCUCCCUGUCACACGCAAUGGGCCCAGCCGCCCUGACGGCGGAUAUGUCACUCGUGUAGUCCAACCACAAACCGACGAGCCCGUACAGAGAUGCCCUUUUCUCCUCCCCCCUCGAUCACAGCCACCCGCACCCUCUCCCCCUCCUCUAUAUAACCCCUCGCCGUUUCCCCACUCCGCAUCGACGCUCUCACACUUCUCCUCCAACACAAAGAAAGCAGCGCUGCUUCCGCUGCCUAGCUCUAGAUCACCUCGUCGAAGCUUGCCGUGACCCAAUCCGCUGUGCCCGCUGCUGGAGGAAUGGCCACCGCAGCCGUGACUGCAGGUACAGGCGCAUCUGGCUCAUCUUCCCUCCCCUUCCUGACGCAUUCCAUUCUCAACCUAAUCCACCUCUUUGCACUCGCAGCAUGGACUCCGCCGGCUCCUCGUCGACGGUGGCUCGCGCAUCCCGCACACUCAUGAUCGGUGACGUCCCCAUCAUCCUCUCCGAACCAUUCCCCGCCCUCUGCAUCCCCUCACCUUUCAUCCUCCACGGUACCCCAGUCAGCUCCGCCCCUCCAGCCCCACCACCUCCCUCCCCACCACGAUCCUCUGCACCUCCACCCACACCUACCUCACUCACACCAGCUUUCAACCACACGCACUCUCCACCCUUCGACACACAGGAGCUGAGGGGCCAGCUCGCCGACAUUUUCCUCGCCUCACAGUACACCAGAACCUCGUCUCACGUCUGCGAGACAGACACUGAGGAGGAUCUGCCCCGUCCGGCCCAUGAGGCCGGGCUGCUGCCUCCCUAUGGAGACAUGCCACUAGUCGCAGUUCCUCCUUGUCUCGUCCACUCCCCGCGUCGUUUUGCUUUCGUCCACCUUCGCACACCAGUCCCCAACCCCACUCCCCUCACCGUCGAGCCAUCGAGCACACUUGCGGCAACCUUGCCUUUAUCAUCGGCGGCUCCUGGAGGGGGAUCGCCUGCCUCACCUUUCACACACCAGCUGCAUGCAAUGACGUGCUCAACCACAGCCCCAUCGAGUACGAGGGAAACUCUAUCACUAUUGAGCUGGUCGAGCACAUCGACCGCUCCAUUGCCAUAUAUACUGACCUCGCUGAGGUCGAAGUCUCAGAGUUUCCACAUGAGCUAUGGCAUGAGGAUGGCAUACGCUUCGCCCUCACUUUCCUUGGCGACGUGUGCGCCAUUGACGACUUCUGCCUCCACGGUAUUGACUACAUGUCGGUCCGUGCCCUCGUCCUUCUCCAAUCUGGCAAGCCAGCCCCUCCAGGCAUUGUCAUUCAGAUCCCACCCAUAAACGAGAUUAAGAUCGCCAAAGUUGUAGAGGUCUCCCGCUGGCACCACGGUGAUGGUGCCAACCCGUUCAGUGAUGGCUCCUCUGACGAUGACUCUGCUCCUCCCUCUCAGCGAGCCUCUCCGCGGCCGCUCUCCCCUGCUCACAUUGCUCCUGUCGUCUCCGUGAUUCGUGCGGGGUAGCGUGCCGACCCCACCUACGGUGGCACUAGGCCGGUCGCCCCCCAUGCCCCUUCUGAGCCUCAUGAAACCGACACAACCCAGUCAGCAGUGGCCUCACCUCUCACCCUCCAUGGUUCCCGGCGCCAGCCUCUCAUCAUCUCCGACGACGAUUCGGCCGCCUCGGAUGACAUGCAUGCACCGCUCCUGCAUGCCGCUUCAGACUCGCUGGACGUGGUGCAUAAACCCCCUUCCGACACCCAUGCCCCACCUGUCAUACGCCCGGUUGCCCAGGUGGGUGCCGUGGUGCCACCCACCCCGUGCACUAACCUGUCUGUCGCUCCUCUGGACGCCGGCCCGCUGGUUCAGUCCAGCGCCUCUGCGGUCCCCGCUCCUGCAGACGCACCUGCUGCGCCUCCUUCCUUCACUUUCACCACGGGCUAGUCCUCCCGUGCAGCUGGUAACCAAUCUACNNNNNNNNNNNNNNNNNNNNNNNNNNNNNNNNNNNNNNNNNNNNNNNNNNNNNNNNNNNNNNNNNNNNNNNNNNNNNNNNNNNNNNNNNNNNNNNNNNNNNNNNNNNNNNNNNNNNNNNNNNNNNNNNNNNNNNNNNNNNNNNNNNNNNNNNNNNNNNNNNNNNNNNNNNNNNNNNNNNNNNNNNNNNNNNNNNNNNNNNNNNNNNNNNNNNNNNNNNNNNNNNNNNNNNNNNNNNNNNNNNNNNNNNNNNNNNNNNNNNNNNNNNNNNNNNNNAGUGCAUCAUUCGCAAGGCGCGCCGCAAGUCUGAGCGCGAUCAGUCCGUCUCCAAGGAAAAGCUGCGGCGGAGUGCGCGGCUGGCUGGCAAGCAAGCCACCUACUCCCCCAUGCUUGCUAAAGCCGUCAAGGCCAAGGCUGCUCGCCUCUCCGUUGCGGAUGUCGACACGGCCAUUGGCCGUGCUAUCCAGGAGGCACGCCUCCACGAGCCCGACGCCCCUCCUGCCUCCUCCGAAGACCUUGCUGCCAUUGCUCUGCUCUGCGGUGCUAACGACGAGCAGCUGGAUGCCAUCCUUGGCUUCGAGGAUGCUGCCUCUGGUGAUGACGCCGCUCCAUGAUCAGUCGUCCUCGCCACCCUGGAGUUACGGCGCGACCUCUGCCUCACCUAGCCUUUCUGCAUGGCGCCGUUAGAUCGCUAUUCUUUUGGUUUUUGCUUCCUAUGUCGCAUGUUCCUAUGCUACUUUUGGCCUCACCUGUAGCCUUUGUGACUGUAUGCCAGAUGUACUCCGUUUCUGUCUGUUGGUGCUCGAUCGGUCUCAAUGAGUAAUGACGCCUUUUUAAUCUGCUCUUGGAAUGUACGAGGACUUGGUGAUAAUGAUAAGUGCUCUGACGUGCUUUUCCGAACUAAUCACAACAAAACCGCACAUUACGCUCUUGCAAGAAUCAAAAAUCGACUCUCUCUCCGAAAGUAAAGCAAAAUCCUUCCUACCACGUCAGGCCGACCAAGUUUUCUCCUUGCCAGCUAUCAGAACCGCGGGUGGCACCAUCUCGGCCGUCAACUCUGCAUCCUUCCAAGUCGUGUCCUUCUCCCACUUAACCUUCUCCUCUACACUAAUCCUCCAAUCAACUGCCUGCGCACACCACAUUGCCAUAACUAACAUCUACGCUCCCUCCUCGCGCCCUCUCAAGUUAGCGUUCUUAGACGAACUCGCCUCUAUCGCACAACCAGAUGACACCCCAUGGCUCAUCGCCGGUGACUUCAACCUUAUCCGUUUCCCCUCCGAGAAAAAUAACACCGCCUUCCACCCCGCCGAAGCCAACGCGUUCAACCAAACCUUAGAUAACCUAGCACUUAUCGAAUUACCUUUACGGGACUGCAGGUUCACUUGGUCCAAUAACCGUGCCUCUCCCACACUAGAACGGCUAGAUCGGGUCUUUUUUAACCUUGCAUGGGCAGAUACUUUCCCCAACACUUCCCUUUCCUCUCGAUCCCGCUUUACGUCCGAUCACGUUCCAUUCCUCAUCCACGUCACCACCUCCAUCCCUCGAUCCAGCUUUUUCAAAUUCGAAGCGGCCUGGGCCAACUCCCGGCCCUGCAAGGACAUUGUUGCUCAAAUUUGGGCUGCACAGCCCUCAUCGCCAAAUAAUGCCACUGCAUCCCUCGUCUCCGCGCUCAAAAAAUCUCGUGCACGUCUUAAGACUUGGGCACGUUCUCGUAUCCCCACCCACCUUCGCGAGGCUCGCUACCAAGCUGCUAUCACAGCCCUAGACCUCGUUGAAGAAACUAGACCCCUAACUCAGCCAGAGUCGCUCACUCGCAAAAUCAUCAUCUCCUUGCUCAAGAGUGUCAUCCACGAGAAAAUGGCAUACUGGCGCUGGCGUGCUAAAGUCUCUCGCGCUAUCCACGGAGGGGAAAAUACCAAGUUCUUUCACAUAUCGGCCUCUCAACGACUGCGUAAGAACAAAAUAUUCACCCUCACACAUGACGGAUCCGAAUACUUUGCGCAUCCCCAGAAAGCGGAAAUUCUCAGAGACUUCUUUGUCUCUCUAAUUGGCACCCCAGGCCUGACAACCUGGAACUUUGAUCUAGAAUCUAUAUACCCUCACACGGUGCCUGGACUCCACGCCCUCGAUGCACCCUUCUCCGAAGAUGAAAUUAAGCAUGCGUUUCUCACUAUGAACCCCCAAGCCAGCCCGGGUCCGGAUGGCUUUGGACCUACUUUUUAUAGAUCGUUCUGGCCAUUAGUCAAAAACCUCAUUCUACCUUUCUUCUCACAUUUCCACCAAGGUACUGCAGACGCAGAACGUCUAAACCGUGCCCACAUUGUCCUCCUCCCAAAGAAGGACGCGCCGACCUCCCCUGACGCCUUUAGACCCAUCUCGCUGCAAAAUUGCCCGAUCAAAGCUGUUGCAGAAGUUAUCACAUCUCGUCUUAAACCAUUCAUCCCUAUGCUAGUUCAUGGCAAUCAAACCGGCUUCAUUUCUGGUAGAAACAUCGCUGAAAACUUUGUCUUCGCAGCCGAUCUCGUUAGCUCUUGCCACUCUCGCAAAAAACCUACCAUGGUAUUCAAGUUAGACUUCCGAAAAGCUUUCGACUCUGUCGCAUGGCCUGCGCUACAAAAAAUUCUGGCUGUGCGGGGUUUCUCCUCCACCUUCUGCCGGUGGAUCCAGAACAUCCUCCUCACCGGCAAAACGACCAUUCUCCUGAAUGGGGCCGGUGGAUCCAGAACAUCCUCCUCACCGGCAAAACGACCAUUCUCCUGAACGGGGUUCCGGGCAAAUGGAUCCAAUGCAAAAAUGGGUUGAGGCAGGGCGACCCUGUUUCUCCCUAUCUCUUUCUUAUCGUCGCCGAUCUCCUUCAACAGCUCAUCCUCCAAAACUCAGACUCUGCACUCCACCAUCCCAUCUUCUCCCACCUGCCUCCCACUGUCCUCCAAUACGCCGAUGACACGCUCAUCGUUGCAGCCGCCUCCUCAGCAGCCGCCUCAACCCUCAAAAACAUUCUAAACACCUUUGCACUUGCCACCGGCCUCACCAUCAACUUUGCUAAGACUACCCUAGCCACCCUACACACCGACGAAACCACGUCUACUAACAUCGCCCUGGCCAUGGGAUGCUCUUGCGCCUCCUUCCCGCAAACUUAUCUAGGUCUCCCCCUCGCCCCCACCAGGCACCUCACUAAUAUCUUCAAUCCUUUGCUAAAACGAGCUAGGAAACUACUUUCUGGCUGGCGUGCCAAGCUUCUUGAUAAAGGUGAUCGGCUCAUCCUCAUCUCUUCUGUCCUAGACUCAAUCCUUGUUUAUUUCAUGUCUGUGUUCCGCAUCCCAAAGAAAACAAUCAAAACUCUGGACUCGCUGAGGAGAGCAUUUUUUGGGCAGGGGAGGACGCUUGCUCAGGUGCUCAAUGUCUUAUUGCAUGGAAAAAUGUUUGCUUACCAAAAAAAUACGGUGGUUUAGGGCUCAAAAACCUACAUGUGCAAAACAACUGCCUUCUCAUGAAAUUCACUGCCAAAGCCCUCUCCACUACACAAACCCCCUGGCUAGAAUGGCUAGAUCUCCAACACCCUAAUGCUCUAGUCUCCCCACCCCCGCAAACCUCCUUCCUUUGCCGCACAAUUUCACAACAGCUCGCCUCUCUCCAAAACAUAACCUUUGUGUUGACAAACAACGGCUCACACACCUACUUCUGGCUAGAUACCUGGUUGACUCCACAACCCUUGGCCACUGCCUUCCCCCACUUAUUCUCCCACUCCACUCUACAGCUGGUUAAAGUGGCUAACAUUUUGCAUUUCGGUAUUCAAGCUAACCUCCGUAACCGUCUCUCUCUUACGGCAGAACAAGAACUUGUCUCGCUUGUGGCUGUUUUGCAGGAUUUCAUGCCUUCGGCUGGGGAAGACCAACAGUUCCUUCGACACGGCAUUGCCUUCUCCACCAAACAUGCAUACGCCGCCCUCAUGGAGCAGCCAGAUCAUGAUCACCAUGCUCCGCUCAUUUGGUCCGCAAAGAUUCCUCGGAAGCUAAAAGUCUUCGCUUGGCUGCUCUUCAAAGACCGCCUCAACACCAGGUGCAACCUUGCACACAAACAUAUAAUCGACUCAGAUAUAUGCCCUCGGUGUGCGAGGCUGCCAGAAGACUCCAGCCACUUGUUCAUCUCAUGCCCCUCGCCAAUAGGAUCUGGCAACGUCUUGGCCUUCUGCCCCAGUCUGACGAUAUCACAGACCUCUGGGAUGUCGCUAUCCCUACUCACCUCCCCACCUCCGCAUGGCCUUCAGUCCUCUUGGCCCUGUUAUGGAUGAUCUGGUCUGCCCGCAACGACAUGGUGUUUAGGAUGAUUGAUCAAAGUUCUGUAAUAACCCUUAGAAACCUUAUUUCCGCUCUAGAUCUUUGGUCUCAUCAUCUUGUGCUUUCACAGGACAAGGAGGACGUCUUCUCGUGGCGUUCCUACCUUUCUGCAUGGUGCAACGUGUCUAUGUAAUGUUGUACUUACUGCCUCGGCAGUCCUUUGAGUAAUAUAUUCAGGUGGGGGAGCUCCCCCGGUGAUUUAAAAAAAAACCUUAUCCCAAACCGGAGAGUAGAUCGAGCGUGUUAUCAAAUUCCUAGCUCAGAUCGAUGCCCAACCUCUCCAACGCCCCCAACUCAUGCCGCCGGUGUGCUCACUCCGGCUGGUCGCCACAUCGCCUCUGUUGAUCGAUGCUCACAAAAAAAAGGCUCCAGCCACCGGUGUGAUCCACUCGGGUUGCUCGUCACAUCGCCGUCGGUGUGCUCCUCUGCUCGGCGCGCUCCAUGCCCGUGGGCAACGGCCGCGUUCGAUGGCGGCCCAGGUCACGGCAUCGUCGAAGCUGCUCACCGGCGUGCUCUGCGACGCCGAGCGCAAACUCUCCUGCUCGUGACCCUCUAUCCCCGCCGGCACCCACAAUGUUUUUCGGUGGCACAGCUCUCGCGACACCGCGCCACUGCCCUUGUUCCGCCGCAGUUCAUGGCGAUGGUCCUCGGCCACACUCACGGCGCCGCCGGCGUACUAUGCAGAACAAGUUCAUGUACAUUUUUUUUUUGUGAUUUGAGCUUUAAAAACUGAACAAAGGCAGCUCCUGUAUAUUUUUCUUCUGAAUUUUAUCUCGUAGGAGUACAAGAUGUGGCCUACGUUGUAAACGAAUUUGUGUGUGAAUGAAAGCUGUGACAGUACAAUGACAUUUUUAGUGUUGUGAACUUGUGACAUACAUUUCCAGUGAAUGAAAGAUGUGGCCUAUGUUGUAAAUGAAUUUGUCCACUCUUGGUAUAAACUAGCUUAUCCCCGCGCGUCGGCACGCCGCGCCUUGCCAGUAUGUCAUGUCGAAUUUUUCGCAUAUGGUCAUGCAAAAGUUUAUACCUGUUAAUUGGUUACUGAGUUGAUUUCUAAUUAUAUUUAUAUAGUAUGUUAAUUUGUUAAUCCAUUGUACUUAUUAAAUAUUAAGUGGGCAUGAAUAGCAAAAGUGUCACAGAAUUAAUAACUUUAUUGUAUGGAACACUGGAUACAUUUUGCACAAAGAGAGUGCAUUCUUUUUUUUUUGCAGGAAAAGAGAGUACAUUCUGAUACUGCAAAUUUAUGUUUCUACAAACGAUCUAUGAUUUCUUUGUACACUACAUUUUAGUCUCUCCAGUAGGGGAACCAUUUCCAUCCUCAAUUAGGAAUGUAAGACCGGCACGUGAAGUCACUCUUGACACGGCAACAUACAACUGAACAUGCGAUAAGACAAGUUCUGGCAGAUAAACACAAAUCUUUGACAGCAUCUGACCCUGACUCUUAUUAAUAGUCAUAGCAUAGCAUCCUGUCAAAGAAAAAAUAGUCAUAGCAUAGCAUAACCGAACAGGAAACUGGCAACGACGAAGUUUAAAUGGCCACUUGCACCCGGAAGAAUUAAGAACAAUCCAUGGGAUGCAAACUCGCUGCCCUUAAUUAGAGCCGGCAAUAGUUUCUCCCUCCACCACUCUUUCACCAAGACGUGUAAUGAUCAACAGCGUUCCAUUGCACAAACCAAAUGAUUGGUUGACAUUCCAAAGGAAUAUAACAGGAACACCAACCUUAAGCAGAAUUUUGUGCUGUGAGAAAUUGUUGAUUUUUAUCGAAUUCAAUAGCUCAGGAGGGUAAAACACCUCAACCUCAUCAAUAUGAUCGGUGGCCUUGAAUAUAGAAUCGCAACUAAGAUACUCUUUAGAUAUCCCCGAUCAAAGACAACUUCAUUGAGAUCAUCUACCGCAUUAUUGGUGGGCAUACAAUUGCACACUGAGAUAAAUAAUCACACCAUUGAAAUGAACGAAAAGAAAAAGACGAAUUAAGAACAUGAGAAUUUGAUGCCUUGAAAACUUAGUUCAAAUCACAAAAAGCAUGAUAAAUUACCGUUUCUUUCAAAGCAGGGCUUCCGGCGUUGUUAGUGCUUCAUAUCCUAAUCAGCACAAUUAUUUGUCAUAGUAAAUGUGCAAAGCAAGUUAAUGCUUCCGAAGAAGUAGCCACUUCUAAUCUAAGGUCUGAACAACCCAAAACAACUAAAAACCGUAGAAAAAAUGUGCCAACAAUUUUAAAAUCCUUAGAAAUCAUAACAAGUAAGGGAAUAUAAGUACUGUCAAGCAACGAACAAUUACCAUAUGCUGCCUGAUUAUACAUCAUGGGCUUGGUUUCAUUUUUAAUGAAAACUGAACCAUGGGCGGUGCCCCGCAAGAUCGUUUUUUUACAUCAUGAUUCUUUGGAAGGCCGGGCCAAUUGUUCUGUGCACUGGUGCCAUUGUCCUUCAAGAAACACUCUCUAACUUUCUUCCAUAUAGAUUGCAAUGCAAGGGAUCUAGCAGGCCAAUACCUACAUCAGCAGAUUAAACGUAGUAAUCUGAGCGCAAAGAGAACAUAUAAUUUCUCGUUUUCAACUUUCAUGACAUGCAAAAUGAUCAAGACACUCAUAAAGUCACAGUGUCCCUCUGCUCAAUCCAGUUCAGUGGCUCAAUUUUGAGAAAGGACAGAAAUACACCAUCAUACCUUCUGACAUCACUAAACAAAAUUGUAAAUAUGUCACUUUCGAAUUAUAUAGAAGGCAGACAACAUACAUCUCUAGCGCUGAAGUUCAUAAUAUUGCAGCUUAUGUUCAGGAACAAUGGGUUCAUCACUGAAGUAGAUCUUCCCACAAGAGAAAAUUAAUAGGAAGUAUCUUAAUAAACAUAUCUAAGAGCUCAUUCUUAUAAUUACGAAAUGCUCACAUGAAGAGAAACCAACCAUAAAAUAGGAAGUAUCAGGAUGCAGUGAAGCAAAAUAUAUCAAUCCCAAUGCCAGCGAAGCUUGCCUGGAAAAAUGUUGAUGUCUCUGGAUGUGCUUGCUCUACAAAAGAACCACUACCCACCUUCCUGAAGACUGUAGGAAAAAGAUUUAUAGUGAGUAUGCAUCAUCUAACCAAAAACCAAAAGAAGUAUAUGUAGUAAAUAAUGGGUGCACACGGAUGAUCCCAUCUGCUAUGGCAACAAAUCGACAAAAAAUCUAUUGAAAGAAAUAUCAGCAGAACAUUCUCUUCUACCACCAUAAUCAAAUAAAUAUUUUAUGGUGCCUUUUCAAUAUUUAGGCUGAAUGUAAUUUCUUUACAAACAAAAAACAAGUCAGUUAUCUUGAUUCAUAAGAAUCAGAACUAUUGAUAGGGACAAACAAAGCAUGAAUAUUUACAUUUGUUUUUCUCAUCACCCUGUUAAGCCAUUUCAUCAGGUAGGUAUACUAACCCGCACAUUCAUGGAAAAUGUUAAAAUCAAAUAGAAAAAAAGUGCUGGAACUUCUAGCCAUCUUACAUCUCUUCAUUUUGUUGGCCAAGUAUAUAGCAACAUACACAACGUAGCAAAAAUUGCAUUAAUAUGUGUUCUGCUCAUCCGAUUCAGGUUGAUCUUCCCUUCGCUUUUUUUCCUGGAUGAACACUAAUGUUCAGCCAAUGGUGUACCAAUUCUUUGAAGACUCACCAUGAUGCUACAAGAUCUAAAAAAUAAAAAUAAAGAGAGGGGGCUCAUCUUGCUGCUACGUCCUCAACGGUGAACAGAGGCGGCAAAGUGCCCCUGCUACCGUUUGACAGCGCCGCUGCCACUUUCUCGCACAAUCCGCCUCCACCACCGAUUCUUCCACCACCUAGCAGAAGUCGAUUGUGCGCCUCACAGAGGUUGCUGCUGUCCGCGGAAGUAGUCAAAUAACAGCCCAAGCUCCUCGCAGUCAACCGCACAGCGGGCAACAUCUCCUCCCCAUGCGCCUGCAUAACACACCAUCCAUGUAAACACCAGGACCAACAUGAAUCGACUCCAAUCCAAAUGGAUGAACGAACUGAGAAUUACACGGCGAAUUCAAGAGGAUCAGAACUACAUUGGGCAUCAGACCACGCGAUUUGGGAAUGCCUGGGACCGGCUUCUCCGUCGUCAUGUCGGCCAACAACGAAACGCAUCGGAGAUCACGGUCGGCAGCGGAUAUUCUAGGAAGCCUAUAGGGGUAAAUGUUGCAAAAAAUCUUAAAUAUCAAAAUAUUCAAAACACAAUCAACUUGGUUUCUCUUCCUACGCAUUAACACAAACACCUAAUAUGCACUGAAAAAGAGGAUUCAUCUUUUUGUACAGCCACAUUUCAAAUAGGAGGAUUUGAAUCAGCGACUCAUCUACUUGAACAAAAGUAGCACAUCAAAAAGUAAGAAUUGGAACAGAAAUAUGAGAGAGAGGGGGGGAGGGGGGAGGGAGCGAGAGAGAGAGGGAGAGAGGUGGAGGCGGCCGACGCGGGGCUGGCGAGGGAAGGCGGCGAGGUUGGUAGGGUGGACUGAGGGUGCUGGGGAUCGAAGGACGGCAAGGCUGGAGGAGGCAUCUGUGGCCGGCCGCUCGCUUCCGCCGCCAGCGGGUAGAGGUCGUGGCUGAGAAGGCGCGACGCUGCUGAGGGAGGUCAAGGGAGAGGGGUCGCGCUGCUCUGCCUGCUCCCGCUGUAUGCCGUCGCCGUCGCUGCCGCCACCGCCAUCAUCGUUGUGUUGUGGCCCGGGAGAGGCAGUCUGGGGCCCUCGGGACAGGCGAGGCGUGGGGAGCAUGGCCGUGGCGAGCGGGCUGCCGUGGGCAGCGGAGCACGUAGAUGGCGGAGGUGACCGCGCUGGUUGGUGUGUCUACGCACGACCGCAGAUAUGGACGGAGAGAGAGGAGAUGGGAGCAGAUGGA
Molecule: long non-coding RNA, 14808 nt
Filed under: Triticum aestivum (bread wheat)
Lineage: Eukaryota; Viridiplantae; Streptophyta; Magnoliopsida; Poales; Poaceae
Description: long non-coding RNA (TAES_LNC019540)
Source: RNAcentral